GCCGGGCGCGGUGGCUCACGCCUGUAAUCCCACUACUUUGGGAGGCCAAGGUGGGAGGAUCACCUGAGGUCGGGAGUUCAAACCAGCCUGACCAACAUGGAGAAACCCCAUCUUUA
This 116-nucleotide small RNA is filed under the name Macaca fascicularis (crab-eating macaque). RNAcentral describes it as "Metazoan signal recognition particle RNA (ENSMFAG00000061954.1)". Lineage: Eukaryota; Metazoa; Chordata; Mammalia; Primates; Cercopithecidae. The record is from Rfam by way of RNAcentral.